RNAcentral lists this long non-coding RNA (608 nucleotides) under Lathyrus oleraceus (garden pea). RNAcentral's name for it is "Pisum sativum (pea) long non-coding RNA (PSAT_LNC028305)". The record is from RNAcentral. Lineage: Eukaryota; Viridiplantae; Streptophyta; Magnoliopsida; Fabales; Fabaceae.
AAAGGACGCACUUGAGUCAUCUUCUAUAUGAUUUCAAGAGGUGAACCUUCUAGGAAGUUUUACACUCCAUCCUCAUCCAUUCAUCCAUUUUGUCCUAAACCUUUUCACACAUUGCUUUCAAACUUGAGAUAGAUAUUGUGCAAACAUCUUCAUGUUUUCAAAUCAAAAACCUGGACCCAAGUCCUUGACUUUUCCAAGCUCCCUUUCAUAAUACUUCUUUGAAUCAAUCUUAAUCAUACUUUGACCCUGCUUUCAUGAACACUCAUAAUCAAUUAACUUCACCCAUUCAAUUGUUUUGGCUUUGUCCACUGUUAAUCUUUUCGCGCAUUAGCCAUAGGUUUCAAUUAUCAUUGUGGUUGAUGUAAACCUCACCCUAUCCUUAGUGAGUCGACUAUAAGACUUCCGUACUGAAAACAGGGUUAACCCCUCUAGUGCGUCGAAGCUAUCCUCGCAUGGUGGAUGUUGGUUUUGGUUGAGUUUUCUCCCAUUGAUAAUGAAAGACCUUAGGGCUUGUGUUUUUAAAAUGAACUCACAAACCUUUGGAAAUCUUUUAGCCGAACUACGGCGUUUUGAUCCUUACCUUUGAUGGAAGGUACGUAGGCAACGGG